RNAcentral lists this ribosomal RNA (1347 nucleotides) under uncultured bacterium. RNAcentral's name for it is "bacterial SSU rRNA". It matches the Rfam family "Bacterial small subunit ribosomal RNA", at positions 28 to 1381 of the family's 1533-position model. The record is from RNAcentral.
GACGAACGCUGGCGGCGUGCUUAACACAUGCAAGUCGAACGGAAAGGCCCUGCUUUUGUGGGGUGCUCGAGUGGCGAACGGGUGAGUAACACGUGAGUAACCUGCCCUUGACUUUGGGAUAACUUCAGGAAACUGGGGCUAAUACCGGAUAGGAGCUCCUGCUGCAUGGUGGGGGUUGGAAAGUUUCGGCGGUUGGGGAUGGACUCGCGGCUUAUCAGCUUGUUGGUGGGGUAGUGGCUUACCAAGGCUUUGACGGGUAGCCGGCCUGAGAGGGUGACCGGCCACAUUGGGACUGAGAUACGGCCCAGACUCCUACGGGAGGCAGCAGUGGGGAAUAUUGCACAAUGGGCGGAAGCCUGAUGCAGCAACGCCGCGUGCGGGAUGACGGCCUUCGGGUUGUAAACCGCUUUCGCCUGUGACGAAGCGUGAGUGACGGUAAUGGGUAAAGAAGCACCGGCUAACUACGUGCCAGCAGCCGCGGUGAUACGUAGGGUGCGAGCGUUGUCCGGAUUUAUUGGGCGUAAAGGGCUCGUAGGUGGUUGAUCGCGUCGGAAGUGUAAUCUUGGGGCUUAACCCCUGAGCGUGCUUUCGAUACGGGUUGACUUGAGGAAGGUAGGGGAGAAUGGAAUUCCUGGUGGAGCGGUGGAAUGCGCAGAUAUCAGGAGGAACACCAGUGGCGAAGGCGGUUCUCUGGGCCUUUCCUGACGCUGAGGAGCGAAAGCGUGGGGAGCGAACAGGCUUAGAUACCCUGGUAGUCCACGCUGUAAACGGUGGGUACUAGGUGUGGGGUCCAUUCCACGGGUUCCGUGCCGUAGCUAACGCUUUAAGUACCCCGCCUGGGGAGUACGGCCGCAAGGCUAAAACUCAAAGGAAUUGACGGGGCCCCGCACAAGCGGCGGAGCAUGCGGAUUAAUUCGAUGCAACGCGUAGAACCUUACCUGGGUUUGACAUGGAUCGGGAGCGCUCAGAGAUGGGUGUGCCUCUUUUGGGGUCGGUUCACAGGUGGUGCAUGGCUGUCGUCAGCUCGUGUCGUGAGAUGCUGGGUUAAGUCCCGCAACGAGCGCAACCCUUGUUCACUGUUGCCAGCACGUUAUGGUGGGGACUCAGUGGAGACCGCUGGGGUCAACUCGGAGGAAGGUGGGGAUGACGUCAAGUCAUCAUGCCCCUUAUGUCCAGGGCUUCACGCAUGCUACAAUGGCUGGUACAGAGAGUGGCGAGCCUGUGAGGGUGAGCGAAUCUCGGAAAGCCGGUCUCAGUUCGGAUUGGGGUCUGCAACUCGACCUCAUGAAGUCGGAGUCGCUAGUAAUCGCAGAUCAGCAACGCUGCGGUGAAUACGUUCCCGGGGCU